This 400-nucleotide ribosomal RNA is filed under the name uncultured bacterium. Its description in RNAcentral is "bacterial SSU rRNA". It matches the Rfam family "Bacterial small subunit ribosomal RNA", at positions 355 to 772 of the family's 1533-position model. The record is from RNAcentral.
UGGGGAAUAUUGGACAAUGGGCGAAAGCCUGAUCCAGCAAUGCCGCGUGAGUGAUGAAGGCCUUAGGGUUGUAAAGCUCUUUUACUGGGGAUGAUAAUGACAGUACCCAGAGAAUAAGCCCCGGCUAACUCCGUGCCAGCAGCCGCGGUAAUACGGAGGGGGCUAGCGUUGUUCGGAAAUACUGGGCGUAAAGCGCACGUAGGCGGCGCCGCAAGUCAGGGGUGAAAUCCCGGGGCUCAACCCCGGAACUGCCUCUGAAACUGCAGUGCUAGAAUCUUGGAGAGGUCAGUGGAAUUCCGAGUGUAGAGGUGAAAUUCGUAGAUAUUCGGAAGAACACCAGUGGCGAAGGCGACUGACUGGACAAGUAUUGACGCUGAGGUGCGAAAGCGUGGGGAGCAAA